AACGUAGGACGCAAGCGUUAUCCGGAGUUACUGGGCGUAAAGCGCGUGCAGGCGGUUCUGUCAGUCUGCUGUGAAAUCUCUCAGCUCAACUGGGAGCAGCCAUUGGAAACUACAGAACUGGAGUCUGACAGAGGUAGGCGGAAUUCCGGGUGGAGUGGUGAAAUGCGUAGAGAUCCGGAGGAACACCAGAGGCGAAGGCGGCCUACUGGGUCAGUACUGACGCUGAGCCGCGAAAGCCAGGGGAGCGAACGGG
RNAcentral lists this ribosomal RNA (253 nucleotides) under uncultured bacterium. RNAcentral's name for it is "partial 16S ribosomal RNA". It matches the Rfam family "Bacterial small subunit ribosomal RNA", at positions 524 to 776 of the family's 1533-position model. The record is from RNAcentral.